RNAcentral lists this long non-coding RNA (577 nucleotides) under Triticum aestivum (bread wheat). Its description in RNAcentral is "long non-coding RNA (TAES_LNC016023)". The record is from RNAcentral. Lineage: Eukaryota; Viridiplantae; Streptophyta; Magnoliopsida; Poales; Poaceae.
GAUUUCCAUGAGUUUCAUGCAACAAAUGGGAAGCAGCAGGGCCCGUCUGGCUAGUGCUCCAGUGAUGAAUUUUGUUGAACUAGGUAAAGCUUUAGAUGUCAGACAUGCUCUGAACUUUACUGCACAAGCAUUCGACAGCAUGGUUCUAUUAGUGACAGAGGGAUUUGGAGGUACAGGUACUGAAGGGUAAUGGAUUUGAAGGUUGCUAUAUCUUGAGUUGUCCCAUUGUCUUACUAAAUUCAGGAUUCAACCCAGGAGAGUGUACAGAAUAUGCAGGUUUGUAUUGUUUCCGGUGUAUGUUGGUGAUGCAUCGGAUGUCACUCAGUUUCUAGGAAAUUCAAGAUGGCAUGUAAGCUUCUCCUAUUUGAUGUAUUUUUACUUUCUCAAAAUCUCUUUAUUAAUACCAAUGGUGAUUCUAUUUCUGCCUGAUGACUUGAUGUCAUAUUGUUUAGCAAAGAAACAGACAAACAAGGAGAGAAAACUUAAACAAGAGAGAUGUAUGAGGAUGUCAGCAUCUCAUCAAACAUGUAUUGUGAGGACACCCUUCGUCCGACCUAAUCUUGACGAUCAUCCGUAG